Cucurbita pepo subsp. pepo (vegetable marrow) is the source of this 643-nucleotide non-coding RNA. NCBI's taxonomy places the organism in Eukaryota, Viridiplantae, Streptophyta, Magnoliopsida, Cucurbitales, Cucurbitaceae. The record is from RefSeq and is a predicted model, not a curated record.
UCGAUCAAUUCAUUCAUCAGAGUCUAAAGAACUUUGGCAAUGGUGUGAAUACCCAAUUUCGGGAGGAUCGAUGGCUGGGACAUUCUGCUCCAAAGCUCGGAUUUCGUUGUCUUUAUGUACUCACCUUCUAUCAUAGAAGCCGCCAUUGCUGAAUUGUGGUCUAACGAAGCUGCCUCUUGGAGUCUUACUGAGAAGAAAUCUGUUGUUGGACGAUGAAAUCGAGAUUACAAAAGAAGGAUGCUUCAAGUAUGAUAUAGGUACCACAAAUCUCUUCUUUUGAAUAUCUCCCACAUAGACUGCAAUGUGGCCUUUGGGAACAUCAGAUUGAUUUCUUGCCGAUAGAGCUUGCAUUUUCAGAAUCUGCUUGGCAUUAAGAAGAAUCGAUGGUAAACGGAUUCCCAUAUCGGAAAUUUCCCUGAAACAAGAGAGGGGUGACUGACUUUGAAUGGUGUUCUGCUUGAUUUUGAAUUUGAUGUAGGAAAUAGAGUACUGGUUGGAUGAGAAUGGCUUUAUUUCUGAUGUAUAUUUAUAAACUAGGAACCGGAGAGGAGAACAAAAAAAUAUGGCAGAUAGGUGUGUUUGAGGCCUACUUCUCCAAAGGCUCACAUGGGUUUGCUCUAUAUAUUAGAAUUUCUUUCAUUUC